Molecule: ribosomal RNA, 406 nt
Filed under: uncultured bacterium
Lineage: Bacteria
Description: partial 16S ribosomal RNA
Rfam family: Bacterial small subunit ribosomal RNA
Source: RNAcentral
AUUGAACGCUGGCGGCAGGCCUAACACAUGCAAGUCGAACGAGUGGCGGACGGGUGAGUAAUGUCUGGGAAACUGCCUGAUGGAGGGGGAUAACUACUGGAAACGGUAGCUAAUACCGCAUACCAUCAGAUGUGCCCAUAUGGGAUUAGCUAGUUGGUGGGGUAACGGCUCACCAAGGCGACGAUCCCUAGCUGGUCUGAGAGGAUGACGAGCAACAAUAGGACUGAGACAAGGUCCAGACGCCUACGGUAGGCAGCAGUGGGGAAUAUUGAACAAUGGGCGCAAGCCUGAUGCAGCCAUGCCGCGUGUAUGAAGAAGGCCUUAGGGUUGUAAAGUACUUUCAGCGGGGAGGCGUUACCCGCAGAAGAAGCACCGGCUAACUCCGUGCCAGCAGCCGCGGUAAUAC